This is an RNA transcript of Grammomys surdaster, 976 nucleotides long. It is a transcript of the gene named transcription cofactor vestigial-like protein 4 pseudogene, with no coding region annotated. The record is from RefSeq and is a predicted model, not a curated record. The transcript has a single exon. NCBI's taxonomy places the organism in Eukaryota, Metazoa, Chordata, Mammalia, Rodentia, Muridae.
UCAGGCUCACCCAGGAAUGGAGACGCCAUUGGAUGUAUUGUCCAGGGCAGCCUCUCUGGUGCAUGCUGAUGAUGAAAAACGUGAAGCUUCCCUCAGGGGAGAACCCAGAAUGCAGACCCUCCCGGUGGCCUCAGCUCUCAGCAGUCACCGGACAGGCCCGCCUCCCAUCAGCCCCAGCAAGAGGAAAUUCAGCAUGGAACCCGGGGACAAGGACUUGGACUGUGAAAAUGAUCACGUCUCCAAGAUGAGCCGUAUCUUCAGCCCCCAUUUGAAUAAGACUGUCAACGGAGACUGCCGCAGAGAUCCCCGGGAACGGAGCCGCAGUCCCAUUGAGCGGGCUGCAGCCCCCGCUGUGAGCUUGCAUGGUGGCCACCUGUACGCAUCCCUCCCCAGCCUCAUGGAGCAGCCUCUUGCCCUGACUAAGAGCAGCAGCGACACAGGCCGGUCAGCUGUGGAGCGUCAGCAGAACCGGCCCUCCGUGAUUACCUGUGCAUCUGCGGGCGCCCGCAACUGCAACCUCUCUCACUGUCCCAUCGCACACAGUGGCUGUUCUGCGCCUGGGUCCGCCAGCUACCGGAGACCACCCAGUGCAACUGCCACCUGUGACCCUGUGGUGGAAGAGCACUUCCGUCGGAGCCUGGGCAAGAACUACAAGGAACCAGAGCCAGCACCUAACUCGGUGUCCAUCACUGGCUCUGUGGACGACCACUUUGCCAAAGCACUAGGUGACACGUGGCUUCAGAUCAAAGCGGCCAAAGACAGCACAUCCAGCAGCCCGGAGUCAGCCUCACGCAGGGGCCAGCCAGCCAGCCCCACCGCCCACAUGGUCAGCCAUAGUCACUCCCCCUCUGUGGUCUCCUGAAGGGGGAAUCACCCUUCGACCACACAGGAAUCUGCAUGGUUUGCCUGAGCUUUGAACAGUCAGUGCUUAAAAAACAAAAAAACAAAAAAACAAAACAAAACAAAAAAACAGAAA